Long non-coding RNA from Tachysurus fulvidraco (yellow catfish), 656 nucleotides. RefSeq lists it as uncharacterized. NCBI's taxonomy places the organism in Eukaryota, Metazoa, Chordata, Actinopteri, Siluriformes, Bagridae. The transcript has 4 exons. The record is from RefSeq and is a predicted model, not a curated record.
ACGUCAGUAACAAAAGGAAGCAGACUGACGUGUUUCUCACAGGAUACUGCGUUCAGAUUGAUCUGCUUCCUGAUCAGAGCUGCAGCACUACGGCGUGACCUCCAGUGACCUUUUACCGCCGUCACAGCGAUUACACGCGAUCAGGAUCCGAAACAACGUUCACAGGGACUCGAACGGCGGUUUCGUUUACGUACGAUGUGGUGAAGGAGUCUCCGGUUUCGGCUCCGUGUAACAGUCAGAGGUGAAGCUGGAGAGUUUACACGUCUUUAAUGUAUCGAGCUGUGAAGACAGAGAAUAAAGAGAGACCGGUGAAAUCGUCGUCUUCGUCUUGAGUUCGAGAAACUAUUUUGGGGUCUCCAGUGUGAGGUGUGUGUCUCAGUAGCAGGUGAAGCUGGAACGUGAUGUUCUCCACAUCUUCAGGACAGAGGAGUUUACACUCUUCAGAAACUAAAGACGACACACUGCAAUUUCUUUGUCUCAUUAACUUGUAGAGAGAGAAUAAAGAAAGACUGCUGAGGGAACUGCUGUUAUCUCUGCUGGAACAUCAGCUGAAUGAGGAAUUAACUCGUCUCAUGGAUGUUCCGCAACAUUAAACAUAGCUAGAAAUAAAAUAUUUGUUAAUUUAAUUUUUGAUAAAAACUGGAUUUUGGUAUUUA